RNAcentral lists this long non-coding RNA (1858 nucleotides) under Lactuca sativa (garden lettuce). RNAcentral's name for it is "long non-coding RNA (LSAT_LNC006535)". Lineage: Eukaryota; Viridiplantae; Streptophyta; Magnoliopsida; Asterales; Asteraceae. The record is from RNAcentral.
GGCACUUUACUAUUUCUUGUACAAGUUAAAAAGAUAAAUAUCAAUUAACUAACCUGAACCUCGAAAAUAUAGGUUUCAUUUUUCACAUGCUUGGGCCAUAAUACAUUCAAGUGUCUAUACUUUUCUCUUUUUUAUCUUUCCAGUAUCUGUUUGAAAUCAGUAAGCUUAGCUUCUGCAGCAACAAAUAUUUCCUGAGAAGUUGCCUCAACUUGUAUGGCGGUCUUGACUUGUGUUUCUAAGUGAUGCUCAUCAAAAGAGAAAAUCAAGCUCUAAACCCUCUUCAGUAUUUUUUUAAUUCGUUUCAAGAUUAAAAAAGAUAAAGAGGAAAUAGAUCGGGUAAUGCUUUAGACGGUUAUGUAACCUUUAACCAAAAAGUUUCCUACCUAUGCAAAUCAAAAAAUGACCUUCAACUAAAAGUCACUCAAAGUUAACUUUCAAUUAAAAAAACAACAAAAACUUAUUAGUACACUAAUAUUAUGGGUUAUAAUAAUGUAAAUAUACCGAACUACAAUACUUUGACAAUCUUUGUUUGUGUUACAACCUUCUACUAUUGUGGGUUACAGAAUCAGAAAAAAAAAUACCAAAAAUUAUGGGUAAUUUGAUUUGGAACCAAAAGAACUGGAAAAGAACCAAAAAGACCCGGUUUGGUAAAAAAAAAUUAGGGUUUUUUUUGGUAAUUUUUUUAAACUUAGAGGUGGUUUUAAUCCUUUAUAUGGCAGCCACGAACACACUUCAUAAGAUCUUUAAUUUGGUCUAUGCAUUUGAUAACCUAUAUAUGUGAUUACAGAUUCAAAUGUUUUAAUUCAUAGAUUGUAAAAUAGUAUAAUACCCCUGUUGGUUUUUGUUNUUUUUUUUUUAAUGAUUUUUAAUAUAAAAAAAAAAAAAAAAAAAAAAAAAAAAAUAGUACAAUAAAGUAGGCAUUUUGACAAACACCUUAAAGGCAAUACACAGAACUAAUGAGAACCCUUGUCGUUUCUGGAUUGUUUUCUGAACAUUUUUCUAUUCUAUCUAUAUACCAAAAUCAAACACUCUGUAACUUAACAAUUUUAGUUUUCAUCCAAAUAAGCAGCCCAAUCUAGCUUUUACAAACACAGUUACGAUUUGCCUCAAAGUAAACUCACAACAAUAAAUAGAAGUGAAAUCUAUUUGGUUUCCCUUUCAGGUUGAAAUUCAGACUCGUUUUGAGGAUUCUAUUAACCACCUUAUUUCAAAUUACACAGCAAACAAUCAAGAAUUAGAAAUGUAUGAAAAAAGAAAGGAAACACAAACGUUAAAGAAGAUUUGUAGAAUGAAGCAGCUGAAAUACAAACCUUUUCUUAGGCCUAACCUCUUUCUUGUGAAGAUUCCUUUGUUCCAGCAGUGAUAAAUGCGAUUCAACUGAUCAAAUUGAAAUAAAACGCCUGUCAAACUGAGAAGGCAAUGUCAAAUCAGAGAGAGGGAUAGAAAUUUAUUGAGAAAACCCAUCUGUCGUUAUCCCUUUCUUGCUCCUCUCAUCCCAUAGAAAUCAUAAAUUGAGAUUGAAAGAGGCGGUUCAAUGUUGAAAUCUUUUGACUAAUUUUAGAAUAUUGCUCAGAGGAUCGACGUUACCGAUGGCUGAGAAGGUCAAGGUUACCGAACUUAGCAACGUCGUCGACAAAGUUGUUGGGUAUAGCGAUGCGCCUUGCAGAAAACCGUCGACGGUGGGGUACGAUAGGGGUGAAGCAGGUGUGAAGGUGGUCGUGUGGUGUUAGUCGAGACGGCGACGACGAUCGAUGAUCUCUUUCCAGUUGCAUAUAUCAUGGUGGAGAAGGGGGAAAGCGCUCCAAUAGAAGGACAAAACAUAUUAAAGCGGUGGUGAGGUGAUGUCACAAACGCAAAU